GGUCAGGUAGCCUAGCGGUUAAGGCAGCCCAUGCGUGUUUUGGAUCUGGUCGCUGGUUCAAAUCCAGCCCCGACCA
This 76-nucleotide transfer RNA is filed under the name Cronartium ribicola 11-2. RNAcentral's name for it is "tRNA-Und (NNN) (tRNA-Und-NNN-44-1)". It matches the Rfam family "tRNA". Rfam says of the family: Transfer RNA (tRNA) molecules are approximately 80 nucleotides in length. Their secondary structure includes four short double-helical elements and three loops (D, anti-codon, and T loops). The record is from RNAcentral. Lineage: Eukaryota; Fungi; Basidiomycota; Pucciniomycetes; Pucciniales; Coleosporiaceae.